This 480-nucleotide ribosomal RNA is filed under the name uncultured archaeon. Its description in RNAcentral is "bacterial SSU rRNA". It matches the Rfam family "Archaeal small subunit ribosomal RNA", at positions 356 to 839 of the family's 1478-position model. The record is from RNAcentral.
UGCACGAAAGUGUGAUAAGGGAAUCCAGAGUGCUUAGCUUAGCUAGGCUUUUGCCAAGAGUAAAUAUCUUGGAGAAUAAGUGGUGGGAAAGACUGGUGCCAGCCGCCGCGGUAAUACCAGCGCCACGAGUGGGGACUAUGAUUAUUGGGCCUAAAGCGUCCGUAGCCUGUUUAAUAAAUUUUUUGUGAAAUUGUUAAGCUCAACUUAACAGCGUGCAGAAAAGACUGUUAGACUUGGGACUGGGAGAGGUUAGAAGUAUCUUUGGGGUAGCGGUAAAAUGUUAUAAUCCUAAAGAGACUACCUAUGGCGAAAGCAUCUAACCAGAACAGGUCCGACGGUGAGGGACGAAAGCUAGGGGAGCGAACCGGAUUAGAUACCCGAGUAGUCCUAGCCGUAAACGCUGCGAGCAAGAUGUUGCAUAUUCUUCGUGAAUAUGCAGUAUCGAAGAGAAGUCGUUAAGCUCGCCGCCUGGGAAGUAUG